Scophthalmus maximus (turbot) is the source of this 725-nucleotide long non-coding RNA. RefSeq lists it as uncharacterized. The transcript has 3 exons. Lineage: Eukaryota; Metazoa; Chordata; Actinopteri; Pleuronectiformes; Scophthalmidae. The record is from RefSeq and is a predicted model, not a curated record.
UCUCUCUCUCUCUCUCUCUCUCUCUCUCUCUCUCUCUCUCUCUCUCUCUCUCUCUCUCUCUCUCUCUCUCUCUCUCUCUCUCUCUCUGCGAGUGCAUGUCACAAGUAUUCUUAAAAGCGAGAAUUACCUUUGAACUGGCUGCUGAUGAAGCCACAGCUGCUAAAUAGUGCGACUGUACAUCGCCGAAGCUUCUCAUCUGCACAAGUGACAGUUUCAACCAACCGCAGGAGGACGCAGGAGGAAGAAGUCCCUUAGAGCCCACAUCGAGGUGAGGAGGAUGAAGCCCACCAAAAAAAAAAAAGAAGAAAAAAAAGGAUCCUAAUCCACACCGUCCUCCUUCUUCAUGUCCGUCAGUGGCUGCAAUCUGGACACAUAAACGGAACAAGACUGAGAACAUUUUUGCAUCCCAGCACCAGCCUGACGUCUGUGCAAGAACGAACAGCAAGGAGAUGCCCUGGAAUGAACUCUGGAAAAAUGACUCCAGCCCAAUAAUAAAUGUCAAAAAGUCCAUAGAUUCCCGAUGAGCCUGGUCAUCCGAGGACAAACCAACAUCUAAAAAGUGUCCAGAACUCGACAUGAAGGAUGCCAUUAAGACAAUCCUGCAAGCUCCUAAUAAGUAUUCGACUACAAAAUUAACCGCCCAACUAUUUCGAUAACCGAUUUCUAUGGAAAAUAAAAGUCACAAUUCUCUGACUUCACCUUCUUAAAUGCAGUGUCUCCCCUAG